UACGUAGGGGGCAAGCGUUGUCCGGAAUCAUUGGGCGUAAAGAGCUCGUAGGCGGUGUGUCACGUCGGCCGUGAAAACCUGCAGCUUAACUGUGGGCGUGCGGUCGAUACGGGCAUCACUGGAGUUCGGCAGGGGAGACUGGAAUUCCUGGUGUAGAGGUGAAAUUCGUAGAUAUGGGGAGGAACACCGGUGGCGAAGGCGACCAUCUGGACGGAUACUGACGCUGAGACGCGAAAGCGUGGGUAGCAAACAGG
This 254-nucleotide ribosomal RNA is filed under the name uncultured bacterium. Its description in RNAcentral is "partial 16S ribosomal RNA". It matches the Rfam family "Bacterial small subunit ribosomal RNA", at positions 524 to 776 of the family's 1533-position model. The record is from RNAcentral.